CCUACGGGAGGCAGCAGUGAGGAAUAUUGGUCAAUGGGCGCGAGCCUGAACCAGCCAAGUCGCGUGAGGGAAGACGGCCCUACGGGUUGUAAACCUCUUUUGCCGGGGAGCAACGGGCGCCACGUGUGGCGCCACGGGGAGUACCCGGAGAAAAAGCAUCGGCUCACGCCGUCCCAGCAGCCGCGGUAAUACGGAGGAUGCGAGCGUUAUCCGGAUUUAUUGGGGUUAAAGGGUGCGUAGGCGGAGCGUUAAGUCAGUGGUCACAUUGAGGGGCUCAACCCCUGCCCGCCAUUGAAACUGGCGCUCUUGAGUGGAAGAGAAGUAUGCGGAAUGCGUGGUGUAGCGGUGAAAUGCAUAGAUAUCACGCAGAACCCCGAUGGCGAAGGCAGCAUGCCGGCUUCCUACUGACGCUGAGGCACGAAAGCGUGGGGAUCGAACAGGAUUAGAUACCCUGGUAGUC
Molecule: ribosomal RNA, 460 nt
Filed under: uncultured bacterium
Lineage: Bacteria
Description: partial 16S ribosomal RNA
Rfam family: Bacterial small subunit ribosomal RNA
Source: RNAcentral